Long non-coding RNA from Apis florea (little honeybee), 526 nucleotides. NCBI's taxonomy places the organism in Eukaryota, Metazoa, Arthropoda, Insecta, Hymenoptera, Apidae. The record is from RefSeq and is a predicted model, not a curated record.
GGGGCACACCCACUUUAAUACGUACCGGAAUGCAUUCGCAUUUGAUGCAGUACAUGACUCCAAAGGGCGGGCCCAAAUCCGCGAACCAGGUGGAGCCCAGUUCCCGUAUCUGCUUGCCGAACGUACAUUCUGCAACAAAGAGGGAUUUGAAUUGACUUGGCGAAUUUGUGACUCUUUUCCUCCCUCUUUCUUCUCGCAUUCUUUUUCCUUUCCAACCGGUGAUAAAAACCGAAUGGAAUAAAAGUGAAAUCGUGGGAUGAAUGGAGAGGAUUCUUUCCGGCUGGGACACGCUAAUCGACAACCUCUGAAUCAUCAACAUGCCCGAAGAGUAAAACGUCUCUGGUCGCCGCUUAAAAAACACCGAGACGACGAUGAGACAGUGUAUAAAAGAAGAAAGCGACAACGUCAGAGAGAAAGAGGGAAGAGAAAGUGGCAGAAAGCGAUUUGGAAGAAGGAAAAAAGAGUGUGCAUCAUUCUUGCAAGGCCGUUGCCUCGUUUAACAGUGAUGGCGAUUCACCUUCUUCCA